CACCAUCUUGCCCUCCAGAGACAGGAAGCGAUGCUCAAGAUUCUUUACCUUGGUUCCAUCAAAGACAAAGGCUGCAAAAAAUUGAAGCUGGAGUGUCCCUGACUCAAUAAAUGUCCUCAAACUAAA
Chinchilla lanigera (long-tailed chinchilla) is the source of this 126-nucleotide long non-coding RNA. RefSeq lists it as uncharacterized. NCBI's taxonomy places the organism in Eukaryota, Metazoa, Chordata, Mammalia, Rodentia, Chinchillidae. The record is from RefSeq and is a predicted model, not a curated record. The transcript is spliced from 2 exons.